Molecule: ribosomal RNA, 111 nt
Filed under: Tursiops truncatus (common bottlenose dolphin)
Lineage: Eukaryota; Metazoa; Chordata; Mammalia; Artiodactyla; Delphinidae
Source: RNAcentral
AUCUAUAGCCAUACCACCCUGAACUUGCCUGACCUCUUCUGAUCUUGGAAGCUAAGCAGGGUCAGGGCUGGUUAGUACUUGGAUGGGAGAAGGAAAAAAGGUCAAAAGGAA